GCUAGAGUGGCCUAGUAGUUUGAGCUUUGGGCUACGACUCUGGAGACCAGGGUUCAAUUCCCUGCUUGGCCA
Phrynosoma platyrhinos (Desert horned lizard) is the source of this 72-nucleotide non-coding RNA. Lineage: Eukaryota; Metazoa; Chordata; Lepidosauria; Squamata; Phrynosomatidae. The record is from the annotation of a GenBank genome assembly.